RNAcentral lists this ribosomal RNA (253 nucleotides) under uncultured bacterium. RNAcentral describes it as "partial 16S ribosomal RNA". It matches the Rfam family "Bacterial small subunit ribosomal RNA", at positions 524 to 776 of the family's 1533-position model. The record is from RNAcentral.
UACAGAGGGGGCAAGCGUUAUUCGGAAUUACUGGGCGUAAAGCGUGCGUAGCCGGUUAUGUAAGUCAGGUGUGAAAGCCCCGGGCUCAACCUGGGAAUGGCAUUUGAGACUGCAUAGCUAGGGUGCGGAAGAGGGAAGCGGAAUUUCCGGUGUAGCGGUGAAAUGCGUAGAUAUCGGAAGGAACAUCAGUGGCGAAAGCGGCUUCCUGGUCCAGCACCGACGUUCAGGCACGAAAGCGUGGGGAGCAAACAGG